CUGUCCACACUUAAAUAACACUACAAUUGACACAUAUUCAUAUACAAAUACCUAUAAACACAACAGCAAGUAAAAUUAACAUAAAUUUAAUACGUACUUGCCCACUGUUCAUUGCAGUAUAUGGAGAAUCAAGUUCUUGAAAUGAAUGUUUCAAGAAUCAACUGAAUCAUCACCAGUAUAUAUAAACUUAACAUUUCUACUUCAAGCCUAUCUAUCAAUUUUUCAUAAUGAAUUGCUUAUUAGUUUUUUUUUUUUGUUUACGAAAAUCUUAACUGUUGAUUCUCAACAAUUAAGCACCUAUUUACUGGCCAUACAAUGGCUGCCCUCGUUUUGUCAAACCCCCAACAGCGGGUGUGCACAUCCCCAAACAGUUCAAAAAACACGGACUGUGGGGGAGGGAUUCUCAAGAAAAGUCCGGAUCGUCUGCUGUGGUAAUCUCCAAACAGUUUAAAAUACACGGACUGUGGGGGAGGAAUUCUCAAAAAGAGUCUGAAUCGUCUGUGGUUUCCUGCAAUGACUCCUGCGGCGAUCCAAAACGACGUCGUUUUGGAUUUUUUUUUGUGUGCCUCCUUUUGCUUUUGAGCCUCUUUUCCUUCUCUCUUAGCUCUCAAAUCAGAGAUGAAGACGCCCUCCUCCUCCUCUUCUUCUUCUUCUUCUUCUUCUUCCCUGAAAUCAACCGCCUUCACUCUUCCUACAGAGAUAGAGGAGCAACAAUCAUACAAUUGGUGGAUUCAACCCAGCACCAUCACCAAAAUUUGUAUAUACAAGUAGGGAAUGCUGUUCCAUUUCCAGUAUCCAUGGUAUAUACAAGUAGGGAAUGCUGUUGCAUUGCCAGUGUCCAUGGCAUUGAGAAGUAUAUUGGCAAAGGGAAGCCAAGGAGUCUCAAAUAAUGAACCCUUGACAACAACUGAUCUGAAAUUCCCGGAGUCUCGCACAAUUGUCUGCGUGAAGAGCAUUGGAUUAAUUAACCAUUCUUAAAGUGAGUUCAAUCUUGGCAAAAUUAUCUACCCCUCUUAAAGUAAUGUUGAACCAGAUCUGAAUUUCAUUCAAAAGAAAUACCAAAAUUGCAGAUACGAACACUGCUGGAGCAAUUCAAGAUCAGAUCCGAACCACACUUAAGCCAAUCAAACUCAUAUCAGUACAAAUCAAACCACUUCGAACACAAAUUUGAGAGAUUCAGACCAAAAGAGGGCCUCAAUCAAACCUUCUGAACACAUAUAUGAAGGAAUCGAACCAAUUUGAUCAAAAAGAAGGCUUCACUCUAGCCUUUUGAACACAAAUACGAAGGCAGCGAUCCAAUCGAACCAGAUCCGAGGGGCUUCAGAAAUCCCUCCCACACUAAUCGAGCACAGAUUCAGAGUAUUUUGGAGCAUUCAACACACAGAAGGAAGCUAAUUGAACUCUAAAAAUCAUUCGUGAUGCUCGUUCAACAUUCAAUCUGAGAGCGAUUUGCAUUUCAGCAAGCAGAUUGAAGUUCUUAUUGAAAUUCACACAAAAAAUUGAUCAAUUACGGUUCGAAAUGUUUGAGAGAGAGAGGAGGAGGAGGAGGCUGAGGAACUUAACAGUUUCUUCAUCUUCGUCUCUCUGAUUUGAGAGCUUUGGAGAGAAGGAAACGAGGC
Camellia sinensis is the source of this 1619-nucleotide non-coding RNA. The record is from RefSeq and is a predicted model, not a curated record. Lineage: Eukaryota; Viridiplantae; Streptophyta; Magnoliopsida; Ericales; Theaceae.